GCGCGAUUAGCUCAGUUGGAUAGAGCGUUGGCCUCCGGAGCCAAAGGUCAGUGGUUCGAGUCCACUAUCGCGCGCCA
Molecule: transfer RNA, 77 nt
Filed under: Desulfuromonadales bacterium
Lineage: Bacteria; Pseudomonadati; Thermodesulfobacteriota; Desulfuromonadia; Desulfuromonadales
Also listed under: 1 other name
Description: tRNA-Arg
Rfam family: tRNA
About the family: Transfer RNA (tRNA) molecules are approximately 80 nucleotides in length.
Source: RNAcentral